Long non-coding RNA from Microplitis mediator, 1297 nucleotides. RefSeq lists it as uncharacterized. The record is from RefSeq and is a predicted model, not a curated record. Lineage: Eukaryota; Metazoa; Arthropoda; Insecta; Hymenoptera; Braconidae. The transcript has 5 exons.
UUUAGAAGAAAAUGAGAAAGAAUUUUUGAAUUUAAAAUUUAGAUAAUUUUUUUUUUAAAUUUUUGUGUGCUGAGUCCUUUGUAAGGAAGAGUAACAAUGCAGUGAAAUUGAAAUUUGAGAAGUGUUUGGCAGUAAAAAAAAUUCUUGAAUAAAAAUUACGUGACAUGAUUUAAAAUCAUAAUUCUGAGGAUGCCUUGAAAUCAAACAAUUCGGCGGUAAAAAAAUUUAUAAAAAUUACCCGUAAAUUUGUGUUUGAAAAAAAAGAAAAUAAAAAAUUUAAUUUGGACUAAAAAAUGUGUCAGUUAAAAUAAUUGAAAAGUUUAAUAUAAAAUUUAGCGCUUGCGUGUUAAAGUAAAGCCGAGAGAUUUUUCUUUGAGUUUAAAAUCCCAGUUGAGACUUCGAUCCGAGGCCGAGAGAGGUCUGCGUGGGAGACCUGUCGCUCCUUUCUCUCUUCCUCACGCUCGAAAAUCUUUCUCAUUUUCUUGUGUACCUCUUGCUCGCUCGCUCGCACUUGCACUCGUACUUACUUACUUACUCACUUACUUACUUACUUACUUACUUAUUCGUUCGCUCAUACAACUCUUUUUUACCCUUUCUCUUUAUAUUAUUCUUAUUAUCAAUCUGGUGCAAGAGGAGAACCAGAAGAUGCCGACUUCUUCCGCUUCCGAGAAUGUUGCCGUUUGAGUCGUUGACUACAUUUUUGGAUUACGCAUCGAUAACCAGUGCUAUUGACAUACGAUUCUGAUCAGAGUUUAAGCCCGAAGAGAAAAGUCGACUUAGAGGCAGAAAAAGAGGACGAGGAUGAGGAUGAGAAUGAAGAAGAGAAAGAGAAAUAGAACUAGGAAGAGGUAAAGGCAGAGUUAGAGGUUGAGGUUGGAGAAGAUGAAACUGAAGAAAAGAGAGCUCUGGAGUACAGCACGAAGUAAAGCCAGUGGUACAACGAUCCCGGGGUCAUGCUCCGGUCACUGACAUCCGCCUUGGCCACCACUCUCUUCUCUAAGACAUACAACCGAGCUAACUUUGCCCUGCGACAGCAGGCUAAGUCUCCCGAGGCCUGACCACUCUCUGCCCUUUCGUCGUACUCGUUCUGGUAUUAUGCCCGUUCAUGAGUUGCUGUAAUCAGGAAACUAUGCUCUAUAAAUAUGAUGGCAGCAGCAACUAGGCAGCCAGCACAUGUUCUAUAUUCAGUUCUUCCAAGUGGGAGCAAGAAGUCCGUGCGCAUGCGCAUUCAUCCUGUAGGCCAUAUUGAUAUCGUACCAGACAUCCAGUGCGCAUUAGGUUGUAAAAUUAUCUAACA